RNAcentral lists this ribosomal RNA (862 nucleotides) under uncultured cyanobacterium. Its description in RNAcentral is "bacterial SSU rRNA". It matches the Rfam family "Bacterial small subunit ribosomal RNA", at positions 8 to 916 of the family's 1533-position model. Lineage: Bacteria; Bacillati; Cyanobacteriota. The record is from RNAcentral.
AGAGUUUGAUCCUGGCUCAGGAUGAACGCUGGCGGCGUGCUUAACACAUGCAAGUCGAACGAACCUUCGGGUUAGUGGCGGACGGGUGAGUAACGCGUGAGAAUCUGCCCUCAGGAGGGGGAUAACGGCUGGAAACGGCCGCUAAUACCCCAUAUGCCGAGAGGUGAAACGAAUUUCGCCUGAGGAUGAGCUCGCGUCUGAUUAGCUAGUUGGUGGGGUAAAGGCCUACCAAGGCAUCGAUCAGUAGCUGGUCUGAGAGGAUGAUCAGCCACACUGGGACUGAGACACGGCCCAGACUCCUACGGGAGGCAGCAGUGGGGAAUUUUCCGCAAUGGGCGCAAGCCUGACGGAGCAACGCCGCGUGAGGGAUGAAGGCCUCUGGGCUGUAAACCUCUUUUAUCAAGGAAGAAGAUCUGACGGUACUUGAUGAAUAAGCCACGGCUAAUUCCGUGCCAGCAGCCGCGGUAAUACGGGAGUGGCAAGCGUUAUCCGGAAUUAUUGGGCGUAAAGCGUCCGCAGGCGGUCUUGUAAGUCUGUCGUUAAAGCGUGGAGCUUAACUCCAUUUGAGCGAUGGAAACUGUAAGACUAGAGUGUGGUAGGGGCAGAGGGAAUUCCCGGUGUAGCGGUGAAAUGCGUAGAUAUCGGGAAGAACACCAGUGGCGAAGGCGCUCUGCUGGGCCAUAACUGACGCUCAUGGACGAAAGCCAGGGGAGCGAAAGGGAUUAGAUACCCCUGUAGUCCUGGCCGUAAACGAUGAACACUAGGUGUCGGGGGAAUCGACCCCCUCGGUGUCGUAGCCAACGCGUAAAGUGUUCCGCCUGGGGAGUACGCACGCAAGUGUGAAACUCAAAGGAAUUGACGG